UGGGGAAUUUUGGACAAUGGGCGAAAGCCUGAUCCAGCAAUGCCGCGUGUGUGAAGAAGGCCUUCGGGUUGUAAAGCACUUUUGUCCGGAAAGAAAUCCUUGGCUCUAAUACAGUCGGGGGAUGACGGUACCGGAAGAAUAAGCACCGGCUAACUACGUGCCAGCAGCCGCGGUAAUACGUAGGGUGCAAGCGUUAAUCGGAAUUACUGGGCGUAAAGCGUGCGCAGGCGGUUUGCUACGACCGAUGUGAAAUCCCCGGGCUCAACCUGGGAACUGCAUUAGUGACUGGCAGGCUAGAGUAUGGCAGAGGGGGGUAGAAUUCCACGUGUAGCAGUGAAAUGCGUAGAGAUGUGGAGGAAUACCGAUGGCGAAGGCAGCCCCCUGGGCCAAGUACUGACGCUCAUGCACGAAAGCGUGGGGGAGCAAACAGGAUUAGAUACCCUGGUAGUCCACGCCCUAAACGAUGUCAACUAGUUGUUGGGGAUUCAUUUCCUUAGUAACGUAGCUAACGCGUGAGUUGACCGCCUGGGGAGUACGGUCGC
RNAcentral lists this ribosomal RNA (542 nucleotides) under uncultured bacterium. RNAcentral's name for it is "partial 16S ribosomal RNA". It matches the Rfam family "Bacterial small subunit ribosomal RNA", at positions 355 to 889 of the family's 1533-position model. The record is from RNAcentral.